RNAcentral lists this ribosomal RNA (1297 nucleotides) under Daldinia eschscholtzii. Its description in RNAcentral is "partial large subunit ribosomal RNA". It matches the Rfam family "Eukaryotic large subunit ribosomal RNA", at positions 81 to 1405 of the family's 3401-position model. RNAcentral also lists the same sequence under 1 other name. The record is from RNAcentral. Lineage: Eukaryota; Fungi; Ascomycota; Sordariomycetes; Xylariales; Hypoxylaceae.
UAGUAACGGCGAGUGAAGCGGCAACAGCUCAAAUUUGAAAUCUGGCCCUAGCGGUCCGAGUUGUAAUUUGUAGAGGAUGCUUUUGGUGAGGUGCCUUCCGAGUUCCCUGGAACGGGACGCCGGAGAGGGUGAGAGCCCCGUACGGUUGGACGCCAAACCUCUGUAUAGCUCCUUCGACGAGUCGAGUAGUUUGGGAAUGCUGCUCUAAAUGGGAGGUAAAUUUCUUCUAAAGCUAAAUACCGGCCAGAGACCGAUAGCGCACAAGUAGAGUGAUCGAAAGAUGAAAAGCACUUUGAAAAGAGGGUUAAAUAGCACGUGAAAUUGUUGAAAGGGAAGCGUUUGCGACCAGACUUUUUCCAGGCGGAUCAUCCGGCGUUCUCGCCGGUGCACUCCGCCUGGUUGAGGCCAGCAUCGGUUUCCUUAGGGGGAUAAAGGCCUGGGGAACGUAGCUCCUUCGGGAGUGUUAUAGCCCCUGGCGUAAUACCCCUCGGGGGACCGAGGAACGCGCUCUGCAAGGAUGCUGGCGUAAUGGUCGUCAACGACCCGUCUUGAAACACGGACCAAGGAGUCGAACAUUUGUGCGAGUGUUUGGGUGUCAAACCCUCACGCGUAAUGAAAGUGAACGGAGGUGAGAGCCCUUACGGGUGCAUCAUCGACCGAUCCUGAUGUCUUCGGAUGGAUUUGAGUAAGAGCAUAACUGUUCGGACCCGAAAGAUGGUGAACUAUGCGUGGAUAGGGUGAAGCCAGAGGAAACUCUGGUGGAGGCUCGCAGCGGUUCUGACGUGCAAAUCGAUCGUCAAAUCUGCGCAUGGGGGCGAAAGACUUAUCGAACCAUCUAGUAGCUGGUUACCGCCGAAGUUUCCCUCAGGAUAGCAGUGUUGUCUUCAGUUUUAUGAGGUAAAGCGAAUGAUUAGGGACUCGGGGGCGCUAUAUUGCCUUCAUCCAUUCUCAAACUUUAAAUAUGUAAGAAGCCCUUGUUACUUAGUUGAACGUGGGCAUUCGAAUGUACCAACACUAGUGGGCCAUUUUUGGUAAGCAGAACUGGCGAUGCGGGAUGAACCGAACGCGGGGUUAAGGUGCCAGAGUGGACGCUCAUCAGACACCACAAAAGGUGUUAGUACAUCUUGACAGCAGGACGGUGGCCAUGGAAGUCGGAAUCCGCUAAGGACUGUGUAACAACUCACCUGCCGAAUGUACUAGCCCUGAAAAUGGAUGGCGCUCAAGCGUCUCACCCAUACCUCGCCCUUAGGGUAGAAACGAUGCCCUAAGGAGUAGGCGGCCGUGGAGGUUAGUGACG